RNAcentral lists this ribosomal RNA (253 nucleotides) under uncultured bacterium. RNAcentral describes it as "partial 16S ribosomal RNA". It matches the Rfam family "Bacterial small subunit ribosomal RNA", at positions 524 to 776 of the family's 1533-position model. The record is from RNAcentral.
UACGUAGGGGGCGAGCGUUGUCCGGAUUUAUUGGGCGUAAAGCGCACGUAGGCGGCUUACUAAGUCAGGGGUGAAAUCCUGGAGCUCAACUCCAGAACUGCCUUUGAUACUGGUAAGCUCGAGUCCGGGAGAGGUGAGUGGAACUGCGAGUGUAGAGGUGAAAUUCGUAGAUAUUCGCAAGAACACCAGUGGCGAAGGCGGCUCACUGGCCCGGUACUGACGCUGAGGUGCGAAAGCGUGGGGAGCAAACAGG